GCAUCUCAGAAAUAGACACUAAAUUUCUCAUUUUAUUUAUUUUUUCCCUGCUCUCCAAUUUUAUUAACUUAGCAUCUAAUGCAUGUUUGUUAAAAGAUAAAAACAUUAUUGCAUCAAAAAUUUGACAAAUAAAUCUGAUUGCAUUGAAGUACCUUUCUGAACAGAUUUUCGAUCUUGUGAGUUAAAUUUCCUUUCUUAUAUAUGACCCAAAACAAACAUAAUUUUGCAGACAUUGCAUAAACCUUUUGUCAAUUUAAAUCAAUAUAUGAACACGACCAAAAGGAGCUAAUUCGAGCAUAUAGUCUGUAAAGCAUCUAAUGCAUCUAUUUUAUGUAAUUUGAGAAACAAGCUUUAUAAAGACCUGAAAAUUUAUGCAGAUCAUGUGAAUGACCGUGAGGAAGAGUACAGUGCUUGCACAAGGUAACCAUCCGCCAGGCUUCUAUUUAUCUUUUCUAAGCAACCGAUAAUGUUUUUCUGGGACUUUUGUCACUAAGAAGCAAGCCCCAGUAGGGAACAAGCUAGUCUUGGAAUUCAUAAUCCUAGACAAAUAAUCAGCUUCAAAUGGUUCCAGGUUACAUUUAAGGCUGGAAAUAAUCUCAAAAUUCAACAAUAAGGCCGUUGCAGCUGACAAGCAGGAGGGUGUGGCACUGCAGAAAAGGAGGGAAUCAUCGAUUAAUUGUAGGCUUAAGAAGUUAUCGAAGAGUCCACCAACAUAAUGGCCGACUUGUUAGAAGAGCUUGGUAAGGAAGUCAACGGUCAGGAUGAAGAGGCUUGGAGACAAUGGGUCGCCUCGACCUGUGAACCGGUUACUUAGGCAUCUAUCAACGAAGACAUCAAUGGAGGAGGAAAUAAGGAUUUAAUCCACUAGAUCCAAGUCUCAAGGAAGCUGCAAGCUUGGAGGAGGGAAAAGAGGUUCCAGUUUGAGGUUAUCAAAUGCUUUUUCGAAAUCAAGCUUACAAAGAGCACCUUUGGUACCUGAUUCUUUGUAGUAUGAGAUGACUUCAUGUGCAAACAGGAAGUUCACAAGGAUGAGUGACUCAUGAGUCUGUCCUUGAUGAAGGCAGACUCGGCUUCAUCAACAAGAGAAAGAAAAAGUAGAUUUAGACAACCUGCCAUCAAUUUUGUGAUUCAUCUUAUAUAACCAUUAAGCAAAUUAAUGGGUCAAAAAUCCUUAGGACAGACAGAGCCUUCCUUCUAAGGUAUAAGGGAUGGGCAAGCAAAGUUGAAAGGAGAGACGCUGAAGCUACCAUUAUAAAAAUGCAUAAAAAAUUCACCAACAAAUCAUCCUUAACCAAAUCCCAAUAAGAAUAACCUUCAGGGCAGACCUUCAUGCUACCAAAUCCAAAGACGACGCUUUUAUUUUCUUCAAAGGUGAAAGGAUCAAGGUCAUGCAGCUGAGGCCCAAGGAGCUGCUCUCAGUUCAGAGAAACAGGCAGUUUGUUCUGGUCCUCGAACAGGUGUCUGAAGUAGGAGCCGAGAUUCUGAGAGAUCCCUUGAUUGAAAUAUUCAAGACCAUCCACCAACAAUGACAAGAUCUGGAUCCUAGUCUUCCUAGCCAACGCAACCUUAGGGGAAUACAAAGUGUUUCAAUCGCCUUCCUUAAGCCGCUGGGACUCCUUCUUUCCGCUAGAGUUCCUCCUUGCCUAAUAUAUCAUCAACAGAUGAUUGAGAUUGCUUCUAAGAUUUAAUUCCUCAAUGGAGAGAUCCAAAGCCUCUUCCUUCUUUUCAAGGUCUUCGCUGUCCAGCAGAAUUUUCGACUUGGAAUCAUGGAGGCCUUUAAAUGUCCAGACAGAAAGUUAACAGCAAAAGGAGUUAACAGUGUGCUUGACUGCUUCUGAAGA
Molecule: non-coding RNA, 1841 nt
Organism: Phoenix dactylifera (date palm)
Lineage: Eukaryota; Viridiplantae; Streptophyta; Magnoliopsida; Arecales; Arecaceae
Source: RefSeq, a predicted model, not a curated record